This is a long non-coding RNA of Talpa occidentalis (Iberian mole), 332 nucleotides long. RefSeq lists it as uncharacterized. The record is from RefSeq and is a predicted model, not a curated record. The transcript is spliced from 3 exons. NCBI's taxonomy places the organism in Eukaryota, Metazoa, Chordata, Mammalia, Eulipotyphla, Talpidae.
CUUCACGUGUGUGUCACUGGCACUGCUACAAAGGAAGGAGAAGCAGCCCUAAAAUGUAGGGAAGAAUAAUAUUACCAUAAUCUCCAUUUACCACAAGAAGAAAGUGAAGCUCUGAGAGAGAAAAUCCUUGGUCACAUCGUAAGAAGGAAUUAUUUAUGUCUAUAUAAAAUCCAUGCUCUUUGACAUCCAUUUGGGAAAGACUUUAAGGGAAAAUAUCAUCUGACUCGUACAACUUCUGCUGAGGGGAAAAACAUCAAACAUGGAACCUGAAAUUAAGGCAAGUGCACUCCAGGAGCCGAAAGAACUAGUUCAGCAGCUGUCAUUAUCCAAAA